RNAcentral lists this ribosomal RNA (253 nucleotides) under uncultured bacterium. RNAcentral describes it as "partial 16S ribosomal RNA". It matches the Rfam family "Bacterial small subunit ribosomal RNA", at positions 524 to 776 of the family's 1533-position model. The record is from RNAcentral.
UACGGAGGGAGCUAGCAUUAUUCGGAAUUACUGGGCGUAAAGGGCUCGUAGGCGGCCAACUAAGUCAGACGUGAAAUCCCUCGGCUUAACCGGGGAACUGCGUCUGAUACUGGAUGGCUUGAGUUCGGGAGAGGGAUGCGGAAUUCCAGGUGUAGCGGUGAAAUGCGUAGAUAUCUGGAGGAACACCGGUGGCGAAGGCGGCAUCCUGGACCGACACUGACGCUGAGGAGCGAAAGCCAGGGGAGCAAACGGG